This is a non-coding RNA of Paramuricea clavata, 263 nucleotides long. NCBI's taxonomy places the organism in Eukaryota, Metazoa, Cnidaria, Anthozoa, Malacalcyonacea, Plexauridae. The record is from the annotation of a GenBank genome assembly.
GCCAAAAAAAAAAUAUGUGGGUUUCCGGUUUCCCGACCCUACCUAGCUUUUGGACGUCAAAAUCCCGACCCUAAACUUUUUUAUUGGAUCAUGCUUGUAAGUGUUUCCACUUAGAGGAAAAAGUUUGUGGAAAAUUGAAAUUUGAGGCAAUAUUAGGGAAAUUUAUCUUUGGAUGUUGAAGCACUGACUAAACAAAAUGGCGUCCGCUUGUUCGGAAAAUUAAAAAAAAAAAUUAAAAAAAAAAGUUAAAACCGACCUACCCU